UACAGAGGUCUCAAGCGUUGUUCGGAUUCAUUGGGCGUAAAGGGUGCGUAGGCGGUGUGGAAAGUCAGAUGUGAAAUCCGGAGGCUCAACCUCCGAAUUGCAUCCGAUACUCCCGCACUAGAGGGUUGUAGGGGAGCUUGGAAUUCUCGGUGUAGCAGUGAAAUGCGUAGAUAUCGAGAAGAACGCUCGCAGCGAAAGCGGAGCUCUGGGCAACUUCUGACGCUGAUGCACGAAGGCUAGGGGAGCAAACGGG
RNAcentral lists this ribosomal RNA (253 nucleotides) under uncultured bacterium. Its description in RNAcentral is "partial 16S ribosomal RNA". It matches the Rfam family "Bacterial small subunit ribosomal RNA", at positions 524 to 776 of the family's 1533-position model. The record is from RNAcentral.